UUUUUUAUUUUUAUUUUUUAUGUUUUUAUUUUUUUUUAAGACAAGGUCUUACUCUGUUGCCCAGGUUGGAGUGCAGUGAUGCAAAUUACAGCUCACUGCAGCUUUGAAUUGGGCUCAAGUGAUCCUCCCACCUCAGCUUCCUGAGCAGCUGGGACCACAGAUGUGUGCCACUUUGCUUGGCUAAUUUUGAAAAACUUUUUUUUGUAGAGCCGGAGUCUCCCUAUAUUGCACAAGCUGGUCUUGAACUCCUGGACUCAGGCAAUUCUCCCACCUCAGCCUCCGAAAGUGCUGAGACUAUAGCCGUGAGCCACCGUGCCCAGCCUGAAGCUAGAGGCUCUUUUCAAUAUGUCAUUAUUCUCAUUUGGUUAGGAUAAGAUUGAAGGGAGGGGUAGAAAGUUUCAAAGGCAGAGAGUUUCAAAGGCAUCAUGUUAACAGGCAGUAACACGAUCAAGCCCCACACGAAGGAACCACCAAGACUCAAGUGUGCAUUCUCAUUGUAGGAAGUCUUCUGCUAACUUGUUGAAUUCGUUUGCAAAACGCAAGUGCAGGAAAUGAUUACCUAAUAGAUCAAAUUGGUCCUUCAAUCACAACCAUUUUGUAACAAUGCACUCCAAGAUUAGAUCUUAGCUACUCUUAUUUUCCAGCAAUUAAAAAAAAAAGAAAAAUGAGAUUAUAAACAUAAAUAGCUGUAUGAAAAUAAACUAUA
RNAcentral lists this non-coding RNA (706 nucleotides) under Pongo abelii (Sumatran orangutan). Lineage: Eukaryota; Metazoa; Chordata; Mammalia; Primates; Hominidae. The record is from RNAcentral.